GACGGAGGAGGCUAGCGUUGUUCGGAAUUACUGGGCGUAAAGCGCGCGCGGGCGGUCUUGCAAGUCAGGGGUGAAAGCCCGAGGCUCAACCUCGGAACGGCCUUUGCGACUGCGAGACUGGAGACCGGGAGAGGAGAGUGGAAUUCCCAGUGUAGAGGUGAAAUUCGUAGAUAUUGGGAAGAACACCAGUGGCGAAGGCGGCUCUCUGGCCCGGACCUGACGCUGAGGCGCGAAAGCGUGGGGAGCAAACAGG
Molecule: ribosomal RNA, 253 nt
Filed under: uncultured bacterium
Lineage: Bacteria
Description: partial 16S ribosomal RNA
Rfam family: Bacterial small subunit ribosomal RNA
Source: RNAcentral